UUAAUUGCUUUUAACAUGCAAAUUGAAAUGUAAUUCGGAAAAAAAAAACUGGAAAAAAAUGUGGACAAAAGACUCAAAAUUAUAACAACAAGUAAUGAUUUUUUUCACCCAUGAAUUAAUUGCUUUUGUUGGAAAGAAGAAGAAAAAAAACUUAAGUAAAAAACAACUUGUUAAUCUCAAGCCACAAUUGUUUCGAACUAACUGUAGGUGCAUCUAAAAUUUCAGCAGAGAUAUGGAGCAAGAAAAAAACUGCAAUUAUUAAAGUGCAUCAGUUGAAGUGGUACUACAAUUGUCUUGUCUAAAAACACCUUCUGGAGGCACACGUGAGAAGCUGAUGUUAAACUUGGAGUCUUAACAAUGAAAUGCAUUUUGAAUUAUGCUGCUGCCGCUGCAUCUCAAUACAAAAACAUAUCUUGAGGUCCCCUAACAUGGCUGGUAUUUUGGUGUGGCAUACUAGAGUUUUUUUCUGGGAGACAUUGUAUUCAAUUCAUUUCUGUGGCUGCAACUCCAACCUACAGCCUUUCUCAGACACAGCUGUAAGGUCUCAUAUGAGAAAGAACGAACGAAAAAAACACCAAGGGAUUGACGUGAUAAGGACAAGUCAGCUUUAUGCCGCAAUAAUCUGCGUAAAUGUCGCAACAAUAUUUUUCCACAUGAACAAACGAAAUGUGUUUAAUUUGGGUUUAUGGAU
This is a long non-coding RNA of Lucilia sericata (common green bottle fly), 691 nucleotides long. RefSeq lists it as uncharacterized. The transcript has 3 exons. The record is from RefSeq and is a predicted model, not a curated record. Lineage: Eukaryota; Metazoa; Arthropoda; Insecta; Diptera; Calliphoridae.